UAGUCUCCCCAGUUCAACUUCUAGGCAAAAUAAUGUUUUUAAAGUAGAUUUUAUCGAAAUAAUAAUAUUUGGUAAGUACUGUAAAGGAAGUUUUUAUUUAAAAAACAAGUAGGGCCCCGUACCUUUUGCAUCAGGGUUAAUUAAUUUACGUUCUAAAUAGAUCAUUCCCGAAAAUUUGUGAGCUAUCUAGUCUGCUAGUUUAUGUAUCAUCAUAUUUAUAAAAGGUUAGAUUGUUGCUAAAAGUAAUUCGGACAAAUAUAUCUGGUUGACCACGUCUUCUUUUAGAGAAGGCACUUAAAUGUUUAUUUACAAGGGGAUGAGCUCUCGUAACUUUUACAUAGAAAAAUACAUUCAAUAUAAAUUAAGGCUUAGAAAUAGCCUAACUGUAAUAAUAAUAAUACUCAGACUUUUAUUUUAAUAUCUAUUAAAAAUUUCAGUGGUUAGCAUAUAGAAGUAAUUCUAUAUACUUAUAAUGAUUAAAUGAGUAAAAUAAAAAUCAAGUGAAAUCUUAAUUUAGGAUUAAAGGAACUCGGCAAAAUAAUCUCCGCCUGUUUAACAAAGACAUGGCCUUGUAUAUAUGUAAGGUCUGGCCUGCCCACUGAUUAUUUGAAGGGCCGUGGUAUUUUAACCAUGCGAAGGUAGCAUAAUCAUUUGCCUUUUAAUUGGAGGCUAGAAUGAAGGGUCGUUCGAGGGAUUGACUGUCUCUAACCUUUAUUUGAAAUUAAUCUUUUAGUGAAAAAGCUAAAGUAAUCUUGAAGGACGAUAAGACCCUAUAGAUCUUUAUAAAAAUAAGAUUAGAAAUUGGUUGUAAAUUCUUUUCACCCCUUUUUAUUGAGUUGGGGCGACGCUAUAUGAAGAUAAAACAUUUAGCCUAUUUAAACACUUACAAGUGGCUAUAAGAUCCUGUAAUGAGAAAAGGAAGUAGUUACCUUAGGGAUAACAGCGUAAUGUUUUUUGAAAGUUCAAAUUGACAAAAAUGUUUACGACCUCGAUGUUGGUUCAGGGAUCCUAUUUAGCGCAGUAGCUUUAUAAGGGAGUCUGUUCGACUUUUAAAUCCCUACGUGAUCUGAGUUCAGACCGGCGUGAGCCAGGUUAGUUUCUACCCUCAAGUUUACCCCUUUAUACUAGUACGAAAGGACCUUAUAAACUUUU
This 1152-nucleotide ribosomal RNA is filed under the name Branchinecta paludosa. Its description in RNAcentral is "16S ribosomal RNA". It matches the Rfam family "Bacterial large subunit ribosomal RNA", at positions 580 to 2705 of the family's 2925-position model. Lineage: Eukaryota; Metazoa; Arthropoda; Branchiopoda; Anostraca; Branchinectidae. The record is from RNAcentral.